CCCAGACUCCUACGGGAGGCAGCAGUGGGGGAUAUUGCACAAUGGGGGGAACCCUGAUGCAGCGACGCCGCGUGGGUGAAGGAGCGUUUCGGCGCGUAAAGCCCUCUCGGCAGGGAAGAAGGAGGACGGUACCUGACUAAGAAGCCCCGGCUAACUACGUGCCAGCAGCCGCGGUAAUACGUAGGGGGCAAGCGUUAUCCGGAUUUACUGGGUGUAAAGGGGGCGCAGACGGCAGCGCAAGCCAGGAGUGAAAGCCCGGGGCCCAACCCCGGGACUGCUCUUGGAACUGCGCGGCUGGAGUGCAGGAGGGGCAGGCGGAAUUCCUGGUGUAGCGGUGAAAUGCGUAGAUAUCAGGAGGAACACCGGUGGCGAAGGCGGCCUGCUGGACUGCGACUGACGUUGAGGCCCGAAAGCGUGGGGAGCAAACAGGAUUAGAUACCCGAGUAA
This 447-nucleotide ribosomal RNA is filed under the name uncultured bacterium. Its description in RNAcentral is "partial 16S ribosomal RNA". It matches the Rfam family "Bacterial small subunit ribosomal RNA", at positions 330 to 793 of the family's 1533-position model. The record is from RNAcentral.